CCUCCAGUCUAACUGGCAGAGAUUUCGUCCUCCAUCAGUCUGUGAUGUCCUAGUCUCUGUCUGCUGACACGUUCAGUUAUAAAAACGAUGUUUAUGUGGCUAUUGCUGCUCCCAGUGCAGAGAGCUGUAUGGUUUUCCAAUGGGACCACAUAGAGAUGAACUUCAGGACCUAUGAUAACAUCACAGGUCAGUCCAUUGUGGGGUGCAAGUCAGUUGUCAUCCAGAGCCAGGUGUUUGUCAUCGUGGCUCAGCUCUUUGGUGGUUCCCACAUCUACAAGUUUGAUGAGGACCAGAGCAGGUUCAGCAAGUUCCAGGACAUUGAGGUGUCCAAGAUCUC
Molecule: long non-coding RNA, 337 nt
Organism: Monopterus albus (swamp eel)
Lineage: Eukaryota; Metazoa; Chordata; Actinopteri; Synbranchiformes; Synbranchidae
Exons: 3
Source: RefSeq, a predicted model, not a curated record